RNAcentral lists this ribosomal RNA (253 nucleotides) under uncultured bacterium. RNAcentral describes it as "partial 16S ribosomal RNA". It matches the Rfam family "Bacterial small subunit ribosomal RNA", at positions 524 to 776 of the family's 1533-position model. The record is from RNAcentral.
UACGUAGGCAGCAAGCGUUGUUCGGAAUUACUGGGCGUAAAGGGCUCGUAGGCGGCCAACUAAGUCAGACGUGAAAUCCCUCGGCUUAACCGGGGAACUGCAUCUGAUACUGGAUGGCUUGAGUUUGGGAGAGGGAUGCGGAAUUCCAGGUGUAGCGGUGAAAUGCGUAGAUAUCUAGAGGAAUACCGGUGGCGAAGGCGGCAUCCUGGACCGAGAUUGACGCUGAUGAGCGAAAGCUAGGGGAGCAAACGGG